UACGUAGGGGGCAAGCGUUAUCCGGAUUUACUGGGCGUAAAGGGAGCGUAGACGGUGUUGCAAGUCUGAUGUGAAAGGCGGGGGCUCAACCCCUGGACUGCAUUGGAAACUGUGAUACUCGAGUGCCGGAGAGGUAAGCGGAAUUCCUAGUGUAGCGGUGAAAUGCGUAGAUAUUAGGAGGAACACCAGUGGCGAAGGCGGCUUACUGGACGGUAACUGACGUUGAGGCUCGAAAGCGUGGGGAGCAAACAGG
Molecule: ribosomal RNA, 253 nt
Filed under: uncultured bacterium
Lineage: Bacteria
Description: partial 16S ribosomal RNA
Rfam family: Bacterial small subunit ribosomal RNA
Source: RNAcentral